This 230-nucleotide long non-coding RNA is filed under the name Brassica napus (rape). Its description in RNAcentral is "long non-coding RNA (BNAP_LNC014967)". The record is from RNAcentral. Lineage: Eukaryota; Viridiplantae; Streptophyta; Magnoliopsida; Brassicales; Brassicaceae.
AGAGGCUAUUGCGAUGCCAUCAGCCCUUCACAUGGCGCUAACCCUAAAGUUCCCAAAACUCAAAAAAUUUCUCCAACAAUUCAACGCUCAUCAGAGUUAUCUCCGGCAACUUCCAGUCUAAUGAAAUCAUCGGUUUUGUGAAAGACAUCCGUUCGAUCUCCUCUGGUUUUGCAUUAUUCUCCUUCUCUAGUUCGGUAAUCAUUUCAGCCGAUGUUUUAGCAAAAAAAGGC